This 253-nucleotide ribosomal RNA is filed under the name uncultured bacterium. Its description in RNAcentral is "partial 16S ribosomal RNA". It matches the Rfam family "Bacterial small subunit ribosomal RNA", at positions 524 to 776 of the family's 1533-position model. The record is from RNAcentral.
UACAGAGGUCCCAAGUGUUGUUCGGAAUUACUGGGCGUAAAGGGCGCGCAGGCGGCUUGGCAAGUCGAGCGUGAAAUACCUCAGCUUAACUGAGGAACGGCGCUCGAAACUACCUCGCUUGAGGGCGGGAGAGGGAAGUGGAACUCUCGGUGUAGGGGUGAAAUCUGUAGAUAUCGAGAGGAACACCGGUGGCGAAGGCGGCUUCCUGGCCCGUACCUGACGCUGAGGCGCGAAAGCGUGGGGAGCAAACAGG